This 406-nucleotide ribosomal RNA is filed under the name uncultured bacterium. RNAcentral's name for it is "partial 16S ribosomal RNA". It matches the Rfam family "Bacterial small subunit ribosomal RNA", at positions 30 to 526 of the family's 1533-position model. The record is from RNAcentral.
AUUGAACGCUGGCGGCAGGCCUAACACAUGCAAGUCGAGCGAGCGGCGGACGGGGGAGUAUUGUCUGGGAAACUGUCUGAUGGAGGGGGAUAACAACUGGAAACGGUAGCUAAUAUCGCAUACCAUCAGAUGUGCCCAGAUGGGAUUGGCGAGUAGGUGGGGUAACGGCUCACCCAGGCGACGAUCCCUAGCUGGUCUGUGCGGAUGACCAGCCACACUGGAACUGAGACACGGUCCAGACUCCUACGGGAGGCAGCAGUGGGGAAUAUUGCACAAUGGGCGCAAGCCUGAUGCAGCCAUGCCGCGUGUGUGAAGAAGGCCUUCGGGUUGUAAAGCACUUUCAGCGGGGAGGCGUUACCCGCAGAAGAAGCACCGGCUAACUCCGUGCCAGCAGCCGCGGUAAUAC